This 245-nucleotide ribosomal RNA is filed under the name uncultured bacterium. RNAcentral's name for it is "partial 16S ribosomal RNA". It matches the Rfam family "Bacterial small subunit ribosomal RNA", at positions 524 to 768 of the family's 1533-position model. The record is from RNAcentral.
UACGGAGGGUGCAAGCAUUGAUCGGAAUUACUGGGCGUAAAGGGUGCGUAGGUGGAUUGUUAAGUCAGAUGUGAAAUUCCGCGGCUCAACUGCGGAGCUGCAUUUGAAACUGGCGAUCUAGAGCAUAGUUAGGGAAAACGGAAUUCCACGUGUAGCGGUGAAAUGCGUAGAUAUGUGGAAGAACACCAGUGGUGAAGACGGUUUUCUGGGCUAUAGCUGACACUGAGGCACGAAAGCUAGGGGAG